RNAcentral lists this transfer RNA (71 nucleotides) under Tropidophorus hangnam. RNAcentral describes it as "tRNA-Gln". It matches the Rfam family "tRNA". Rfam says of the family: Transfer RNA (tRNA) molecules are approximately 80 nucleotides in length. Their secondary structure includes four short double-helical elements and three loops (D, anti-codon, and T loops). Lineage: Eukaryota; Metazoa; Chordata; Lepidosauria; Squamata; Scincidae. The record is from RNAcentral.
UAGGAAGUAGUAUAGUGGAAGUACAAGAGGUUUUGAGUCUUUUGGUACAGGUUCGUGUCCUGUCUUUCUAA